RNAcentral lists this long non-coding RNA (484 nucleotides) under Ananas comosus (pineapple). RNAcentral describes it as "long non-coding RNA (ACOM_LNC020370)". Lineage: Eukaryota; Viridiplantae; Streptophyta; Magnoliopsida; Poales; Bromeliaceae. The record is from RNAcentral.
UUAUAAUUUGUAAUUUCAUAAUUAAAGUUUAUAAUUUUAAAUUUUAAAAUUUAAUUUGAUAUUUUAUAUUUUUAAAAUUUAAAAUUUGAUAUUUAAAUUAUAAAAAUUUGAUUUUAAAUUAAAUAUUUCUAUUUUAAAUUUUAAAUUUUAAAUUUGAUAAUUUAGAAGUUGAGAGUUUAAUUUCAAUUUUUAAAAUUUAAAAUUUAAAAUAAAAUUUAAAAUUUAAAAAUUCGAAUUCAAAUAUAACGAGAUAGAUAAUAUUAUUUUUCUAUUUAUAACUACUCACUAUCCUUCAUAUUCAUCCUAUCUAAUCAAACGCUAUUUUUUUUAUUCCCAGAAAUAAUCCAAUUUUCAUCCAAACGUAAAAUUGAUCUAAUCUCCGCUUAUAGCUCAAUUUAUAUCUAUCCCUCUUUUUACUUAUUUUCGAACCAAACGAUACCUAAAUAUAUAAAUAUUUUUUAAUCAAUCAAGGAGAUAUAACCUA